RNAcentral lists this small RNA (691 nucleotides) under Vigna angularis var. angularis. Its description in RNAcentral is "Non-protein coding transcript". The record is from RNAcentral. Lineage: Eukaryota; Viridiplantae; Streptophyta; Magnoliopsida; Fabales; Fabaceae.
UCUCUCUCUAAAACCCUUGCCCUAAAGGUUUUCUCUGAUUUCUCUCAGAUUCCCAGCUCCUUGAACCGUAGGAAUUCGAUUUAGGAGCUACCCAAGCGUUCGCGGAGUAGAGGGCUUCCUUUUUACCGAACGUUCUCUUCGUUCCGAUCGGGUAUUGUGUGUUUUGCUGUGAGAGGUUCUGUGAAGUUGCUAUUGUGAGUUGUACUGUGAGAACCCUAGGAGAAGAUUCAUGGUGGUGCAGUAGUGUUUAGAAUGAUCUACAGGGAAGCUCAGUCUUGGGGGUUAUCCUGACACUCCAAUGGUCUUUCAUUCUCAAGUAGAGAGGAUUGAACCAUGUGGUGAGGAGUAGGAGGUCUUAGUCUUGGGGGCUUCCAGUAUGCCUCAAGGCCCGGAACAGGCUAACCUCGUGAGUGUGGUAGGGUGGAGAACCCAAGUUUCAUAAGCCACCACGAGUGCAUGACCCGCCAUAGCUCGGUAAUCAUUCUAAGUCUGGACGAGUCAGGUCUAGUUCAUGACAUGUUUCUUGAUGUGAGCAGAUGAAGAGGAGGUAUACGUGGAACAAGCGCUAGAAGAUGGUGAUGAUGCAGCUUAGUAUGCUUAGGAUUUGGAUUAGUACAACUAUUCUGUCUUUAGAAAAUUUUCCAGUGGUCCUUUGUGUUUAAGAGACCAACUCUGAUCUUAUUUUGGAUGA